CUUUCCCUCUUUCUUCAUGCUUUACACAUGCAAGUCGAGCGGUAACAGGCCUUCGGGUGCUGACGAGUGGCGAACGGGUGAGUAAUGCAUCGGAACGUACCCAGAGGUGGGGGAUAACGCAGCGAAAGCUGUGCUAAUACCGCAUGUGAUCUGAGGAUGAAAGCGGGGGACCGAGCAGCAAUGUUUGGCCUCGCGCCUUUGGAGCGGCCGAUGUCGGAUUAGCUAGUUGGUGGGGUAAAGGCCUACCAAGGCGACGAUCCGUAGCUGGUCUGAGAGGACGACCGGCCACACUGGGACUGAGACACGGCCCAGACUCCUACGGGAGGCAGCAGUGGGGAAUUUUGGACAAUGGGCGCAAGCCUGAUCCAGCAAUGCCGCGUGCGGGAAGAAGGCCUUCGGGUUGUAAACCGCUUUUGGCAGGAACGAAACGGUGUCCGCUAAUACCGGGCGCUAAUGACGGUACCUGCAGAAUAAGCACCGGCUAACUACGUG
This 492-nucleotide ribosomal RNA is filed under the name uncultured bacterium. RNAcentral's name for it is "partial 16S ribosomal RNA". It matches the Rfam family "Bacterial small subunit ribosomal RNA", at positions 36 to 507 of the family's 1533-position model. The record is from RNAcentral.